CUCCAGACUCCUACGGGAGGCAGCAGUGGGGAAUAUUGCACAAUGGGGGAAACCCUGAUGCAGCGACGCCGCGUGGGUGAAGAAGUAAUUCGUUACGUAAAGCCCUAUCAGCAGGGAAGAAAAUGACGGUACCUGAGUAAGAAGCCCCGGCUAACUACGUGCCAGCAGCCGCGGUAAUACGUAGGGGGCAAGCGUUAUCCGGAUUUACUGGGUGUAAAGGGAGCGUAGACGGAGCGUCAAGUCUGGAGUGAAAUGCCGCGGCUUAACCGCGGAACUGCUUUGGAAACUGGCGCGCUUGAGUGCGGGAGGGGUAAGCGGAAUUCCUAGUGUAGCGGUGAAAUGCGUAGAUAUCACGCAGAACUCCGAUUGCGAAGGCAGCAUACCGGCGCCCAACUGACGCUGAAGCACGAAAGCGUGGGUAUCGAACAGGAUUAGAUACCCCGGUAUA
RNAcentral lists this ribosomal RNA (448 nucleotides) under uncultured bacterium. RNAcentral's name for it is "bacterial SSU rRNA". It matches the Rfam family "Bacterial small subunit ribosomal RNA", at positions 329 to 794 of the family's 1533-position model. The record is from RNAcentral.